Molecule: ribosomal RNA, 477 nt
Filed under: uncultured bacterium
Lineage: Bacteria
Description: bacterial SSU rRNA
Rfam family: Bacterial small subunit ribosomal RNA
Source: RNAcentral
GAUGAACGCUAGCGGCAGGCUUAACACAUGCAAGUCGAGGGGCAACACGGGUAGCAAUACCUGGUGGCGACCGGCGCAAGGGUGCGUAACGCGUGAGCAACAUGCCCUAUACAGGGGGAUAAUCCAGGGAAACUUGGUCUAAUAUCCCAUAGUAUUUAGAGGUGGCAUCACCACUAAAUUAAAGCUUCGGUGGUAUAGGAUUGGCUCGCGUGACAUUAGCUGGAUGGUGGGGUAACGGCUCACCAUGGCGAUGAUGUCUAGGGGUUCUGAGAGGAAGACCCCCCAACUGGGACUGAGACACGGCCCAGACUCCUACGGGAGCAGCAGUGAGGAAUAUUGGACAAUGGAUGGAAAUCUGAUCCAGCCAUGCCGCGUGCAGGAAGACGGCCCUAUGGGUUGUAAACUGCUUUUAUAUGGGAGCAAUAAGGUUUACGCGUAGACCGAUGAGAGUACCAUAUGAAUAAGCAUCGGCUAACU